UCAGCUAACAUACCACUAUUGCUGUAAAUUCAAGGUUCUUCUCCUGCUCCACAAAAUUAUUUCAUAAAUUUCCAUCAUUACCGGUCAGUGUUCGAACCACCACUCCAGUCGUCUUCCACCAAGAAAACUCCACCUUCUCUCCACCUAGAAAAUCAUCAGCAAUCACUCAUCGGAAAUACUCACCAAAAAGCUUGAGAAAAAGAAGAAGAGCUAAAUCCAAAAGAAAGAAAUCCUUCAUAAAAACCCAUUUACCAGUGACCUCCUGUUUCUUUUUAAAAUUCCACCUAACGGAAAAAACUUUUUUUUGCUAAAAAGUUUUCUUUACUUCUUGAACAUAUCAAAACCAGUAAAUCUUUCUCGCAAACAAAGAAGAAUCAAUCAGGGUCCUGCUUUCUUUACAUAUUUUCAGGAUAAGAUGCGGCAUGUAAUGGGCGGAUGAGGCUAGGAUGACUCUCUCUACAAGGAAUCAUCCGAAUGCAAUUUGGGAUGAAGUUGUGAGAAUUGGAGCGAAAACGGGAAGAAAAGGAAAAAGUGCACAUUAUAGCGCCACAGGCAGUGUGUGGCGCACAAAAUAGAAUGUUUAAAAAACCCACCUCCAGGGCUAGCGCCCCACGUUACCCUAGGCGCUGGUGACGUGAAAGUUGUCGUAUUUCGAUUUGGACUUGGUUAUUUUGACUCAAGACGCCCCCAACUCAUAUAAAAACCAACCUAAACCUAUUUUGGGGAUGAGGAGGCUAAUUUGACAGAGGAACAAAAGUAAGAAACACUCGGGAGCACGAAUUUGAUCAAUUCUUCCAUUCUUC
Molecule: long non-coding RNA, 803 nt
Organism: Nicotiana attenuata
Lineage: Eukaryota; Viridiplantae; Streptophyta; Magnoliopsida; Solanales; Solanaceae
Exons: 3
Source: RefSeq, a predicted model, not a curated record